GUUUAAGCUAAUAAAGAGAAAAAUAUCUUAACUUUUUAGUUUGGACCAUUUUUUGUCACCGAAAUCUCUACCGACUAGAAUCUCUAGCAGAUAGCAGUUAGAUUUUAUUUUCUAAUUUUCGAGUGUCGGAAUGAUAUGAAACUUUAAAUCUAGUCUCAUAAAAAUAAUUCCGACAUAUUCCCAAAUUUUUAUAAUUUUCUGACACUGUGAAUUUUCUGCUAAAAUAUCAGCGCCGUUCUUACAGAAAAUUCUAAAUUUUCUGUUUCCGAUUUCAUCACAAGUCGUUUCCGACUUAAAUUUUACUUCUUUAAGUCCAAUAAAAAUAGUAUCUCACACUAUUUUUAUUUAUAUUUACUUUUAUAUUAAAAAGUCGGUACAUUAC
This 382-nucleotide long non-coding RNA is filed under the name Ananas comosus (pineapple). Its description in RNAcentral is "long non-coding RNA (ACOM_LNC038032)". The record is from RNAcentral. Lineage: Eukaryota; Viridiplantae; Streptophyta; Magnoliopsida; Poales; Bromeliaceae.